GCGAUGAAGUUUCUUCGGAAAUGGAUUAGCGGCGAACGGGUGAGGAACACGUGAAGAAUCUGCCCUCCACUUUGGGAUAACACAGGGAAACCUGUGCUAAUACCGAAUAUUGAAACAUAAGUGGCAUCACUGAGUUUUGAAAGAAUUUCGGUGGAGGAUGACUUCGCGGCCUAUCAGCUAGUUGGUGAGGUAAUGGCUCACCAAGGCAACGACGGGUAGCCGGCCUGAGAGGGCGACCGGCCACACUGGGACUGAGACACGGCCCAGACUCCUACGGGAGGCAGCAGUGGGGAAUAUUGGGCAAUGGAGGAAACUCUGACCCAGCGACGCCGCGUGCGGGAUGAAGGCCUUCGGGUUGUAAACCGCUUUCAGUAGGGAAGAAGCGAAAGUGACGGUACCUACAAAAGAAGCACCGGCUAACUAUGUGCCAGCAGCCGCGGUAAUACAUAGGGUGCAAGCGUUGUCCGGAAUUAUUGGGCGUAAAGAGCUCGUAGGUUGUUUGUUACGUCGGAUGUGAAAACCUGAGGCUCAACCUCAGGCCUGCAUUCGAUACGGGCAAACUAGAGUUUGGUAGGGGAGACUGGAAUUCCUGGUGUAGCGGUGGAAUGCGCAGAUAUCAGGAGGAACACCAAUGGCGAAGGCAGGUCUCUGGGCCAAUACUGACACUGAGGAGCGAAAGUCUGGGGAGCGAACAGGAUUAGAUACCCUGGUAGUCCAGACCGUAAACGGUGGGCACUAGUUGUGGGGACCUUCCACGGUCUCUGCGACGCAGCUAACGCAUUAAGUGCCCCGCCUGGGGAGUACGAUCGCAAGAUUAAAACUCAAAGGAAUU
This 832-nucleotide ribosomal RNA is filed under the name uncultured Actinomycetales bacterium. Its description in RNAcentral is "bacterial SSU rRNA". It matches the Rfam family "Bacterial small subunit ribosomal RNA", at positions 66 to 911 of the family's 1533-position model. The record is from RNAcentral. Lineage: Bacteria; Bacillati; Actinomycetota; Actinomycetes; Actinomycetales.